GGAAUUACUGGGCGUAAAGCGCGCGUAGGUGGUUUAUUAAGUUGGAUGUGAAAUCCCCGGGCUCAACCUGGGAACUGCAUCCAAAACUGAUUCACUAGAGUACGAUAGAGGGAGGUAGAAUUCACAGUGUAGCGGUGGAAUGCGUAGAUAUUGUGAAGAAUACCAAUGGCGAAGGCAGCCUCCUGGAUCUGUACUGACACUGAGGUGCGAAAGCGUGGGUAGCGAACAGGAUUAGAUACCCUGGUAGUCCACGCCGUAAACGAUGUCAACUAGCUGUUGGAAAACUAUGUUUUUCAGUGGCGCAGCUAACGUAGUAAGUUGACCGCCUGGGGAGUACGGCCGCAAGGCUAAAACUCAAAUGAAUUGACGGGGACCCGCACAAGCGGUGGAGCAUGUGGUUUAAUUCGAUGCAACGCGAAAAACCUUACCUAUACUUGACAUACUUGGAAUGCUUUGUAAUGAAGCAGUGCCUUCGGGAGCCAAGAUACAGGUGCUGCAUGGCUGUCGUCAGCUCGUGUCGUGAGAUGUUCCGUUAAGUCGGAUAACGAGCGCAACCCUUACCCUUAUUUGCCAGCGAUUCGGUCGGGAACUAUAAGGGGACUGCCGGUGAUAAACCGGAGGAAGGUGAGGACGACGUCAAGUCAUCAUGGCCCUUACGUAUAGGGCUACACACGUGCUACAAUGGAGAAUACAGACGGACGCUAAGCCGCGAGGUGGUGCUAAUCCUAGAAAAUUCUUCGUAGUCCGGAUUGGAGUCUGCAACUCGACUCCAUGAAGUCGGAAUCGCUAGUAAUCGCGAAUCAGCAUGUCGCGGUGAAUACGUUCUCGGGUCUUGUACACACCGCCCGUCAUACCAUGGAAGUGGAUUGCACCAGAAGUAGAUAGUCUAACCUUCGGGAG
This 900-nucleotide ribosomal RNA is filed under the name marine metagenome. RNAcentral's name for it is "bacterial SSU rRNA". It matches the Rfam family "Bacterial small subunit ribosomal RNA", at positions 547 to 1448 of the family's 1533-position model. The record is from RNAcentral.